GUGCUGCUGAACUAGAAUUUGUAUUUUCUGCAACUGGCUCCUCUAGGAUCUACUAAUGAUUUACAUCUAAAAGAUGAAGUUAGUAAAGCAUCAGAAAAAAAGAGUCCAUACCAUGGAAACAGAUUCCUCAUCAUUUAAGAAUACCAUAUGGUUGCUUAUAUAUGGGCAUGAAUUAAACAACUGGGUCUUUCAACAUUUUUGGAGAAGGCUAUUUCACGCUUUUAAAAUGAAUGUGCUCCUAUAAGAUCAGAUACUGUGUUGACCAGUGGUCAUGCCACCAUCUAUUUAUUUGUUGGAAAUAUUGUUCACACAGUAAGUUUGUCUCUAUUUACUGAGCCAUUCUUAAACAGCUCAUGUGUGUCUUGUCCUCUUCUAAACCUUUUAUAUAAGACCUUCCUUGUUAUUAUUCCUUAUUUUAAAUCAUCAAAAUGUAUUUGAUAGAUCCUUUAAAGGCCUGGAUGGUUAUGAAAUGCUUACAUUAUUGUUUUUCAAGGUUAUAUGAAGUUUCUUGACAGGUGAUUAGCAGAUUUCCCCGUUCUUCAAACGACCAUUUCACAUCUACCUGCAAAGGAGAACAGCAAUCAGAAAGGUGGUGUCUCCCAAAUCAUCCAAGCUAAGAA
RNAcentral lists this long non-coding RNA (620 nucleotides) under Papio anubis (olive baboon). RNAcentral describes it as "lncRNA (ENSPANG00000038412.1)". Lineage: Eukaryota; Metazoa; Chordata; Mammalia; Primates; Cercopithecidae. The record is from RNAcentral.